GAUGAACGCUGGCGGCGUGCCUAAUACAUGCAAGUCGAGCGGAAGGACGAGAAGCUUGUUUCUUUGAUGUUAGCGGCGGGCGGGUGAGUAACACGUGGAUAACCUACCUAUAAUUCUGGGAUAAUUUCGGGAAACCGGAGCUAAUACCGGAUGAUAUUUUGAACCGCAUGGUUCAAAAGAGAAAGACGGUCUUGCUGUCUGUUCUAGCUGGAUCCGCGCUGCAUGAGCUAGAUGGUAAGGUAACGGCCUACCAAGGGAACGAUGCAUAGCCGAACUGAGAGGGGGAUCGGCCACACUGGAACUGAGACACGGUCCAGACUCCUACGGGAGGCAGCAGUAGGGAAUCUUCGGCAAUGGGCGAAAGCAUGACGCAGCAACGCCGCGUGAGUGAUGAAGGUCUUCGGAUCGUAAAACUCUGUUAUUGGGUAAGAACAGAUGUGGAAUGAAACGUGGACAUCUUGACGGUACCUAAUCAAAAAGCACCGGCUAACUACGUG
This 497-nucleotide ribosomal RNA is filed under the name uncultured bacterium. RNAcentral describes it as "partial 16S ribosomal RNA". It matches the Rfam family "Bacterial small subunit ribosomal RNA", at positions 28 to 507 of the family's 1533-position model. The record is from RNAcentral.